UCCAGAAACAUCAGUGAGUGCAGCUUGCAGGGAAAUCCAGAAAGCCGGCUGGCACGUGGAGAAUGGGGACGGGAGGCAGUGGAGGGGUCUGCGGGGCACAGCUGCUUCUGUGACUGGUGGUCCCUGGGUCACUGGUGGUCAGUGAGGCUUACAGUUGGGGAGACAGGGAGAACAAGAGCAAGUUGUCAUCAAUCAGCACCUCCUUGCCUGUCUCUCCCCAGGACAGCCACAAGGACUUUCGGGGGUCGUGGCAGCUGCUCCACUUCCAACUUCCAGAUCCCUCUCACUUUCCUCUUCCCACCAACUCCAACCUGGGACCAAGCAGGGGAAAGCAGCUGCAGCCCAGCUUGACGCCCCUGCAAAUGGAGACCUGUGCACCUGGUUGUGAGCAUUUUAAAGGGUGUCACACAGGGCAUACCCUUCGGUGCCUGGAUUCCUUUGGUUUACAUCCAGCAGGAGUUGGCCCUGAGCUCUGAGUCCAGAUCAUUGCUCUUGGCUGAAGCAGCCUGUCUACUCACAAAGAUGAGCAUGGUCCCUGCCACGAGGAAACUCGUGGUCCUGUGGACUGCGGUGUGGAGGGAAAGCUUGGGAUUCUGAGCCUGAUAAUGCACCAUUACAUCCCCACUCACUCGGGCUGUGUGAACCCAGCAAGUCACAGGAUCACUGGGUGGUGAAAGAAAGAAACACUCACAGAAGCGUCUGUGCUUGGAGAGCCAUCUGGUCCGUCAUUGUGACUGCUGCUCUCAUUGCUAUCAUGGGUGUCACCAUUGCCAUCACUCAAGGACUUCUCUCCAGGCCCCGAAGCCAAGCUGGUGCCUGGUUCCUCUGGGUUGGGAGAGGGGCUGGGCAUGGACAGGAGGAGGGAAAAGGGACCUGUGCUAGCAGGUGAUGCCAUCCAAGACAUCUGCAUCCUAAUCCCUGGAACCUGGGAUUCCACUAGGUGCCAUGGCAAAGAGGGAUUAAGGUGGCAGGUGGAGUGAAGGUUGCUAAUCAGCCGACCUUAAAGUAGGGAGAUGAUCCUGAAUGAGACAAAAGAGAGAACCAGUCAUGGUGUCAUGAGAAGGACUCAAAAUGCAACUGCUGACUUUGAAGAUUAAGGGGCUACAAACCAAGGAACGUGGUAGUCUCUGGAAAAGACAAGGAAUAGACGCUGCGUUGGGGCCACCAGAAGGAACCAGCCCUGUCAACACCCUAAUUUUAGCCCAGUGAGGCCUGUGCUGGACUUCUGACCUCCAGAACUGUAAACUAAUAAAUGUGUGUUGUUUCUGCCACUAGAUUUGUGGGAAUUUGUUAGGGCAGGCAUAAGAAACUGAUACUGUGGUAUUCCCUGCUGUGUCCCCAGGACCUCGUGGCCAGUAGGCUCACAAAAAAUAUCUAUUUAAUGGACAAACAUCGUGAAGGAAAUGCUUUUCUGUGAGCCUACCGUGUGCCAGUUUUUUGACACUGUGUGAGUUGUCAGAUUCAGCAAAUAAAAAUACAGAAUGCCCA
Homo sapiens (human) is the source of this 1488-nucleotide long non-coding RNA. Ensembl annotates it as long intergenic non-protein coding RNA 917. Lineage: Eukaryota; Metazoa; Chordata; Mammalia; Primates; Hominidae. The record is from Ensembl.